UACGAAGGGGGCUAGCGUUGUUCGGAAUCACUGGGCGUAAAGCGUAUGUAGGCGGAUUGUUAAGUCAGGGGUGAAAUCCCCGGGCUCAACCCGGGAACUGCGUCCGAUACUGGCAGGCUUGAAUCCGGGAGAGGGAUGCGGAAUUCCAGGUGUAGCGGUGAAAUGCGUAGAUAUCUGGAGGAACACCGGUGGCGAAGGCGGCAUCCUGGACCGGCAUUGACGCUGAGGCGCGAAAGCCAGGGGAGCAAACGGG
RNAcentral lists this ribosomal RNA (253 nucleotides) under uncultured bacterium. RNAcentral describes it as "partial 16S ribosomal RNA". It matches the Rfam family "Bacterial small subunit ribosomal RNA", at positions 524 to 776 of the family's 1533-position model. The record is from RNAcentral.